This 771-nucleotide long non-coding RNA is filed under the name Medicago truncatula (barrel medic). RNAcentral's name for it is "long non-coding RNA (MTRU_LNC001332)". Lineage: Eukaryota; Viridiplantae; Streptophyta; Magnoliopsida; Fabales; Fabaceae. The record is from RNAcentral.
ACAAGUCACCAUAGAAAAUGACAUCAUCCGUGCUAAGAGAAAGAAGGGAGUCACUAAAAAUUUUGAACCAAGACCAAAUGUUUCAAAAUAUGAAGAUAAUGACAUUAAUGCUGAGGAAAAGAAGAGAGUCGUCAAAGACUUUGAACCAAGACCUAAUGUUUCAGCUUAUGGAGCAAAUGAAAUUGAUGCUAAGGAUAAGAAGGGAGUUAUUGAUGAUUUUGAACCAAGACCCAAUGUUUCAGCUUAUGGAGACAAUGACGUUGAAGCUAAGAAAAAGAAGGGAAUCACUGAAGAUUUUGAACCAAGAUACAAUGUUUCAGCAUAUGGAGACAAUGGUGUAGAAGUUAAGGGAAAGAAGAAAGUCGUUAAAGAUUUCAAACCAAGACCAAAUGUUUCAGCUUAUGGAGACAAUGGUAUUGAUGUUAAGGAAAAUAAAGGAGCCAAUACGGAUUUUGAACCAAGACCAAAUUACGUUUCAGCAUAUGGAGACAAUAAUAUUGAUGUUACAGAAAAUAAAGGAGCCAAUAAAGAUUUUGAACCAAGACCCAAUGUUUCUGCUUAUGGAGAUAGUGAUAUUGAUGUUAAGGAAAAUAAAGGAGUCAGUAAAGAUUUUGAACCAAGACCCAACGUUUCAACAUAUGGAAACAAUGAUAUCGAUGUUACAGAAAAUAAAGAAGUCAAUAAAGCUUUUGAACCAAGAGCCAACGUUUCAGCGUAUAAAAACAAUGACAUUGAUGUUAUGAAAAAGAAGAACGUUACCAAAGAUUUUGA